Molecule: ribosomal RNA, 438 nt
Filed under: uncultured bacterium
Lineage: Bacteria
Description: bacterial SSU rRNA
Rfam family: Bacterial small subunit ribosomal RNA
Source: RNAcentral
CACGGGUGAGUAACGCGUAGAUAACCUGUCUUCAUGGUCUGGAAUAAUACGCCGAAAGGGGUACUAAUACCGGAUAUCUUGCUUUUCAUAAGUUAUGCAAGCAAAGGUGGCCUCUGCAUAUGCUACUGCAUGAAGAGGGGUCUGCGUACCAUUAGCUAGUAGGUGGGGUAAUGGCCUACCUAGGCGACGAUGGUUAGCGGGUCUGAGAGGAUGAUCCGCCACACUGGCACUGGAACACGGGCCAGACUCCUACGGGAGGCAGCAGUGAGGAAUAUUGCGCAAUGGGGGAAACCCUGACGCAGCGACGCCGCGUGAGUGAGGAAAGGCCUUCGGGUCGUAAAGCUCUGUCAAGAGGAAAGAAGUGUACAAUGGCUAAUACCUGUUGUAUUUGACGGUACCUCUAAAGGAAGCACCGGCUAACUCCGUGCCAGCAGCUGC